GAUGAACGCUGGCGGCGCGCCUAAUACAUGCAAGUCGAACGGAGUGUGUUCUCGUAACGCACUCAGUGGCGAACGGGUGAGUAACGCGUAGGUGACCUACCCCGAAGAGGGGGAUAACAGCCCGAAAGGGCUGCUAAUACCCCAUGUGGUUCUGUGGGUUAGAGGCCGCAGAACUAAAGGCGUAAGCCGCUUCGGGAUGGGCCUGCGUCCCAUCAGCUAGUUGGUAGGGUAACGGCCUACCAAGGCGAUGACGGGUAGGGGGCCUGAGAGGGUGGCCCCCCACACUGGCACUGAAACACGGGCCAGACACCUACGGGUGGCAGCAGUAGGGAAUAUUGGGCAAUGGGCGAAAGCCUGACCCAGCGACGCCGCGUGCGCGAUGAAGGCCUUCGGGUUGUAAAGCGCUUUUGGAGGGAAUGAGGAAGGACAGUACCCUCCGAAUAAGCCUCGGCUAACUACGUG
This 462-nucleotide ribosomal RNA is filed under the name uncultured organism. RNAcentral's name for it is "bacterial SSU rRNA". It matches the Rfam family "Bacterial small subunit ribosomal RNA", at positions 28 to 507 of the family's 1533-position model. The record is from RNAcentral.